RNAcentral lists this ribosomal RNA (445 nucleotides) under uncultured bacterium. RNAcentral describes it as "bacterial SSU rRNA". It matches the Rfam family "Bacterial small subunit ribosomal RNA", at positions 354 to 796 of the family's 1533-position model. The record is from RNAcentral.
GUGAGGAAUAUUGGUCAAUGGGCGAGAGCCUGAACCAGCCAAGUAGCGUGAAGGAUGAAGGUCCUACGGAUUGUAAACUUCUUUUAUACGGGAAUAAAGUUUCCUACGUGUAGGAUUUUGUAUGUACCGUAUGAAUAAGCAUCGGCUAACUCCGUGCCAGCAGCCGCGGUAAUACGGAGGAUGCGAGCGUUAUCCGGAUUUAUUGGGUUUAAAGGGAGCGCAGACGGGAGAUUAAGUCAGUUGUGAAAGUUUGCGGCUCAACCGUAAAAUUGCAGUUGAUACUGGUUUCCUUGAGUGCAGUUGAGGCAGGCGGAAUUCGUGGUGUAGCGGUGAAAUGCUUAGAUAUCACGAAGAACCCCGAUUGCGAAGGCAGCUUGCUAAACUGUAACUGACGUUCAUGCUCGAAAGUGUGGGUAUCAAACAGGAUUAGAAACCCCAGUAGUCC